This 497-nucleotide ribosomal RNA is filed under the name uncultured bacterium. RNAcentral's name for it is "partial 16S ribosomal RNA". It matches the Rfam family "Bacterial small subunit ribosomal RNA", at positions 28 to 507 of the family's 1533-position model. The record is from RNAcentral.
GAUGAACGCUGGCGGCGUGCCUAAUACAUGCCAGUCGAGCGAACAGACGAGGAGCUUGCUCCUCUGACGUUAGCGGCGGACGGGUGAGUAACACGUGGAUAACCUACCUAUAAGACUGGGAUAACUUCGGGAAACCGGAGCUAAUACCGGAUAAUAUAUUGAACCGCAUGGUUCAAUAGUGAAAGACGGUUUUGCUGUCACUUAUAGAUGGAUCCGCGCCGCAUUAGCUAGUUGGUAAGGUAACGGCUUACCAAGGCAACGAUGCGUAGCCGACCUGAGAGGGUGAGCGGCCACACUGGAACUGAGACACGGUCCAGACUCCUACGGGAGGCAGCAGUAGGGAAUCUUCCGCAAUGGGCGAAAGCUUGACGGAGCAACGCCGCGUGAGUGAUGAAGGUCUUCGGAUCGUAAAACUCUGUUAUUAGGGAAGAACAAAUGUGUAAGUAACUAUGCACGUCUUGACGGUACCUAAUCAGAAAGCCACGGCUAACUACGUG